This 477-nucleotide ribosomal RNA is filed under the name uncultured anaerobic ammonium-oxidizing bacterium. Its description in RNAcentral is "bacterial SSU rRNA". It matches the Rfam family "Bacterial small subunit ribosomal RNA", at positions 365 to 832 of the family's 1533-position model. The record is from RNAcentral.
UUCGCAAUGCCCGAAAGGGUGACGAAGCGACGCCGCGUGUGGGAAGAAGGCCUUCGGGUUGUAAACCACUGUCAGGAGUUAAGAAGUGUAGUGGCGCGAAUAGCGCUACUACUUGACUAAGGCUCCAGAGGAAGCCACGGCUAACUCUGUGCCAGCAGCCGCGGUAAUACAGAGGUGGCAAGCGUUGUUCGGAAUUAUUGGGCGUAAAGAGCACGUAGGCGGUUCUGCAAGUCGGCUGUGAAAGCCUUCCGCUCAACGGAAGAACAGCAGUUGAUACUACAGGACUCGAGUGCGGGAGGGGAGGGUGGAACUUCUGGUGGAGCGGUGAAAUGCGUAGAUAUCAGAAGGAACGCCGGCGGCGAAAGCGGCUCUCUGGCCCGUAACUGACGCUGAGUGUGCAAAAGCUAGGGGAGCAAACGGGAUUAGAUACCCCGGUAGUCCUAGCCGUAAACGAUGGGCACUAAGUAGAGGGGUUUU